CAGGUGUUAAGGCAGAUGUGGAGGCACACGGGUGACACCAGACACACCCAAGCACAUUAUGUUCGGACAUCCAAUCAUGACAGGAUCCAGGUGGAUGCUGUCCAUUGAGAAAAGAGUUUGUUCAGCGGUUUCUGGAUAGAAUUAAUUCCAAAGAUGGGAAAAAGUGCACAUCCAGACAAGGAGCAAGCAAAAAGACAAGGAACUUGGUGCAGAGAAAAGCUGUGGCCAUUAACCCCCAUGUGAACAGCUUCAUGCAGUCCCUGAUUGAGUUCGAAUGGACGACUUCAAAGUAAAGGCCACUGUGGUCUGUCUGCCACAGUUUAAUUUUUAAUUUAUUUUUAGUGUUCAAUGAAAUUCAAGUAGAAUAUUUAAAACUAUGGGCCAGUGUUCUUUUUACCACAGUGAAAUGUUACCUUUUAGUCGAUGAUGGACUUUAAACUGAAAACUUCAAACUAUGGACCAGUGUCCUAUUUGCCAGAGUUAAAUAUGUUACAGCAGGGUUCUCCAAACUUGU
This is a long non-coding RNA of Paramisgurnus dabryanus, 514 nucleotides long. RefSeq lists it as uncharacterized. The record is from RefSeq and is a predicted model, not a curated record. NCBI's taxonomy places the organism in Eukaryota, Metazoa, Chordata, Actinopteri, Cypriniformes, Cobitidae.